AUGUCACGUGCGUUCGCCGUCGCCGGAACCUCCGCUGCCGUACCGGAGUUAGAUUCACGACGUGUUUGUGAGUCUCUCCGCAUCAACGAAUGAUAAAACUCUACCACCUCCGGUACUUUUCUUACCUUCGCCGGAGGCAUUUUUCCUCCCUUCGGCGGUGGUGGAGGAGUACUGUGUGCAUGCGCCGGUGACGGCGACUUGGAGAAUCCCAUUGCUACCUUAACUUUACCGGCAACCAUUAGAGAAGAGUGAAAAGGGUUUGUGUUGUUGUGUUUAGGGUUUGUGUUUGAAACUCAUGAGAUGAGAGUGAUGAAAGUAACAGAAGACGACGUCGUUUUCUUUGGGUUGAUAAAGGAAACUGGUACUAAAAUUAGAGGAGGAGAAUAGGAUGGUGUAAAGAGUGGAGUGAGUGAGUGAGUGAGGAGAG
This 427-nucleotide long non-coding RNA is filed under the name Medicago truncatula (barrel medic). RNAcentral describes it as "lncRNA gene24865". Lineage: Eukaryota; Viridiplantae; Streptophyta; Magnoliopsida; Fabales; Fabaceae. The record is from RNAcentral.